RNAcentral lists this transfer RNA (77 nucleotides) under Escherichia coli. RNAcentral describes it as "tRNA-Ile". It matches the Rfam family "tRNA". Rfam says of the family: Transfer RNA (tRNA) molecules are approximately 80 nucleotides in length. Their secondary structure includes four short double-helical elements and three loops (D, anti-codon, and T loops). The record is from RNAcentral. Lineage: Bacteria; Pseudomonadati; Pseudomonadota; Gammaproteobacteria; Enterobacterales; Enterobacteriaceae.
AGGAUUGUAGCUCAGGUGGUUAGAGCGCACCCCUGAUAAGGGUGAGGUCGGUGGUUUACGUCCACUCAGGCCUACCA